Molecule: ribosomal RNA, 491 nt
Filed under: uncultured bacterium
Lineage: Bacteria
Description: partial 16S ribosomal RNA
Rfam family: Bacterial small subunit ribosomal RNA
Source: RNAcentral
GAUGAACGCUGGCUACAGGCUUAACACAUGCAAGUCGAGGGGAAACGACGGGGAAGCUUGCUUCCCCGGGCGUCGACCGGCGCACGGGUGAGUAACGCGUAUCCAACCUGCCUCUGACUGAGGGAUAACCCGUCGAAAGUCGGCCUAAUACCUCAUGGCAUCGUCUGCGGGCAUCCAACGACGAUUAAAGAUUUCAUCGGUCAGGGAUGGGGAUGCGUCUGAUUAGCUAGUUGGCGGGGUAACGGCCCACCAAGGCGACGAUCAGUAGGGGUUCUGAGAGGAAGGGCCCCCACAGUGGAACUGAGACACGGUCCAAACUCCUACGGGAGGCAGCAGUGAGGAAUAUUGGUCAAUGGGCGAGAGCCUGAACCAGCCAAGUAGCGUGCAGGAUGACGGCCCUAUGGGUUGUAAACUGCUUUUAUGCGGGGAUAAAGUGAGGGACGUGUCCUUCAUUGCAGGUACCGCAUGAAUAAGGACCGGCUAAUUCCGUG